UACGGAGGGUGCAAGCGUUGUUCGGAAUUAUUGGGCGUAAAGCGCGCGCAGGCGGCUCGCAAAGUCCGAUGUGAAAUCCCUCGGCUCAACCGAGGACGUGCAUUGGAUACUGGCGAACUUGAGUCUCGGAGAGGGUGGCGGAAUUCCCAGUGUAGAGGUGAAAUUCGUAGAUAUUGGGAGGAACACCAGUGGCGAAGGCGGCCACCUGGACGAUGACUGACGCUGAGGCGCGAAAGCGUGGGUAGCAAACAGG
RNAcentral lists this ribosomal RNA (253 nucleotides) under uncultured bacterium. RNAcentral describes it as "partial 16S ribosomal RNA". It matches the Rfam family "Bacterial small subunit ribosomal RNA", at positions 524 to 776 of the family's 1533-position model. The record is from RNAcentral.